GGCGAACGCUGGCGGCGUGCUUAACACAUGCAAGUCGAACGGAAAGGCCCUGCUUUUGUGGGGUGCUCGAGUGGCGAACGGGUGAGUAACACGUGAGUAACCUGUCCUUGACUUUGGGAUAACUUCAGGAAACUGGGGCUAAUACCGGAUAGGAGCUCCUGCUGCUUGGUGGGGGUUGGAAAGUUUCGGCGGUUGGGGAUGGACUCGCGGCUUAUCAGCUUGUUGGUGGGGUAGUGGCUUACCAAGGCUUUGACGGGUAGCCGGCCUGAGAGGGUGACCGGCCACAUUGGGACGGAGAUACGGCCCAGACUCCUACGGGAGGCAGCGGUGGGGAAUAUUGCACAAUGGGCGGAAGCCUGAUGCAGCAACGCCGCGUGCGGGAUGACGGCCUUCGGGUUGUAAACCGCUUUCGCCUGUGACGAGGCGUGAGUGACGGUAAUGGGUAAAGAAGCACCGGCUAACUACGUG
This 468-nucleotide ribosomal RNA is filed under the name uncultured bacterium. Its description in RNAcentral is "partial 16S ribosomal RNA". It matches the Rfam family "Bacterial small subunit ribosomal RNA", at positions 28 to 507 of the family's 1533-position model. The record is from RNAcentral.